This is a long non-coding RNA of Puntigrus tetrazona (Sumatra barb), 902 nucleotides long. RefSeq lists it as uncharacterized. The record is from RefSeq and is a predicted model, not a curated record. The transcript has 6 exons. Lineage: Eukaryota; Metazoa; Chordata; Actinopteri; Cypriniformes; Cyprinidae.
UAGUGACCCUAGAUGCCCAGGGAGAUCCUGCCGCCACACACACACAGUCACAGCGGCUCUCGCCAGCGUGACUGAAGCGCCCUGCUGAGAGCUCAGAUGUCAAGGCUGGGACCUCUGUAGCGGACCCCGCGGACGCACGUGACCUUCCCACGAAGUGCAUUUGCCACCCGAGGAGAAGUCAUGCCACGCGAGCGCCAGUUCGAUUCUUGGAAAACACGCCUGAAUGACGCACAUCAAAAUUCAAUCACACACGAGCACCAUCCAGGCACCCACCUCCACCCCCUUGUUGACUUGAUUAAGCAGCCCAAGUUUGCAUUGGUUUGCACCAAGUGCCUCAACCAAAGGUGGGGGCGGGACUAUUUGUUUGUCCCGACAAUGGAAACCGUAGAAAUGUUGACCGAAACAUUGAAGGAGGGACCCGUACUCAACUCUAUGGUGUGAUGUGGAUUCAGUGCAGCGGUCUCCUGUUGUGUGUGAGGUGUGAUAGGCACUGCACACUUCUUGAGGAGUUGAGGACAGAUUGAGUUCUGUUCUGCUGAACAGCUGUCAUUCCCUGCUCACUGUCAAACAACAUACAGGGAUGCCUGGGGUUCUGACAGCUCUACCGCCAUCCACAACGUUUAUUUAUCUGAGGAGGGAAAGAGAGGCUGGAGUGGAUGAUGGUUCUCACACCUCCGGCUCAGCGUUGAUAUCUGUUCAGAGAGCGGCAGAGGGAAUGAAAGAAUGGAAGGAGGAGGUGCAAAGAAGAGGAGGAGGUGCGCGGGCACGCUCAUUAAGACGGAGGGCAGACUGGCACUGCCUCAACAAACGGGAAAACAAGUGCCGCCAGUCCAGCUCUGCGGAACCACGUCCCCACCGACGGGAACCUCUCCACGGGCCUCUCCGCUAGCCCGGGACACUCA